This 252-nucleotide ribosomal RNA is filed under the name uncultured bacterium. RNAcentral's name for it is "partial 16S ribosomal RNA". It matches the Rfam family "Bacterial small subunit ribosomal RNA", at positions 524 to 776 of the family's 1533-position model. The record is from RNAcentral.
UACGUAGGUCCCGAGCGUUGUCCGGAUUUAUUGGGCGUAAAGCGAGCGCAGGUGGUUUAUUAAGUCUGGUGUAAAAGGCAGUGGCUCAACCAUUGUAUGCAUUGGAAACUGGUAGACUUGAGUGCAGGAGAGGAGAGUGGAAUUCCAUGUGUAGCGGUGAAAUGCGUAGAUAUGUGGAGGAACACCGGUGGCGAAAGCGGCUCUCUGGCCUGUAACUGACACCGAGGCUCGAAAGCGUGGGGAGCAAACAGG